AGAAACACAAGGGCGUGGAGACCUGGGGAAAAAGCAACACGGAGAAAUCCACCCUCUGAAACUGAGGAAGAUGGGCAAGAGAGGCUAGCUCAGGUGGCAAUCUUUAAGCAAAAAAAUAAAAUAAAAAAAUACAAUGGCGAGGAGACCCGGUCAAAAAGCAACCCUGAAAAAGGUACCCUCUGAAACUGAGGAAGCAGGGCAACAAUGCCUAGCUCAGGUGACAAUCUUUAAGCAAAAGAAACACACAAGGGCGUGGAGACCUGGGGAAAAAGCAUCACGGAGAAAUCCUCCAGCUGAAACUGAGGAAGAUGGGCAACAGAGGCUACCUCAGGUGGCAAUCGUUAAGCAAAAACAAAACACAAAGGCGUGGAGACCUUGGGAAAAAGCAACCCUGAAAUAUCUACCCUCUGAAACUGAGGAAGAUGGGCAAGAGAGGCUGGCUUCAUGUGGCAAACGUUAAGCAAAAGAAACACACAAGGGCGUGGAGACCUGGGGAAAAAGCCACACGGAGAAAUCCACCCUCUGAAACUGAAGAAGAUGGGCAACAGAGGCUAGCUCAGGUGGCAAUCUUUAAGCAAAAAAAAUAAAAUAAAAAAAUACAAUGGCGAGGAGACCCGGUCAAAAAGCAACCCUGAAAAAGGUGCCCUCUGAAACUGAGGAAGCAGGGCAACAAUGCCUAGCUCAGGUGACAAUCUUUAAGGAAAAGAAACACACAAGGGCGUGGAGACCUGGGGAAAAAGCAACACGGAGAAAUCCACCCUCUGAAAACUGAAGCUGAGGAAGAUGGGCAACAGAGGCUAGCUCAGGUGGCAAUCGUUAAGCAAAAACAAAACCCAAAGGCGUGGAGACCUGGGGAAAAAGCAACCCUGAAAUAUCUACCCUCUGAAACUGAGGAAGAUGGGCAAGAGAGGCUGGCUUCAGGUGGCAAACUUUAAGCAAAAGAAACACACAAGGGCGUGGAGACCUGGGGAAAAGGCAGCACUGAGAAAUCUACCCUCUGAAACUGAAGAGGAUGGGCAACAGAGGCUACCUCAGGUGGCAAUCGUUAAGCAAAAGAAACACACAAGGGCGUGGAGACCUGGGGAAAAAGCAACACGGAGAAAUCCACCCUCUGAAACUGAGGAACAUGGGCAAAAGAAGCUAGCUCAGGUUGCAAACUUUAAGCAGAAAAAAAAAAAGACGCAAGGGCGUGGAGAGCUGGCGAAAAAGCAACACGGAGAAAUCCACCCUCUGAAACUGAGGAAGAUGGGCAAGAGAGGCUAGCUCAGGUGGCAAUCUUUAAGCAAAAAAAUAAAAUAAAAAAAUGCAAUGGCGAGGAGACCCGGUCAAAAAGCAACCCUGAAAAAGGUACCCUUUGAAACUGAGGAAGCAGGGCAACAGUGCCUAGCUCAGGCGACAAUCUUUAAGCAAAAGAAACACACAAGGGCGUGGGGAGCUGGCGAAAAGGCAACACUGAGAAAUCCACCCUCUGAAACAGACGAAGAUGGGCAACAGAGGCUAGCUCAGGUGGCAAUCUUUAAGCAAAAGAAACACACAAGGGCGUGGAGACCUGGGGAAAAAGCAACACGGAGAAAUCCACCCUCUGAAACUGAGGAAGAUGGGCAAGAGAGGCUACCUCAGGUGGCAAUCCUUAAGCAAAAACAAAGCACAAAGGCGUGGAGCCCUGGGGACAAAGCAACCCUGAAAUAUCUACCCUCUGAAACUGAGGAACAUGGGCAAGAGAGGCUAGCUCAGGUGGCAAUCGUUAAGCAAAAACAAAACCCAAAGGCGUGGAGACCUGGGGAAAAAGCAACCCUGAAAUAUCUACCCUCUGAAACUGAGGAAGAUGGGCAAGAGAGGCUGGCUUCAGGUGGCAAACUUUAAGCAAAAGAAACACACAAGGGCGUGGAGACCUGGGGAAAAAGCAGCACUGAGAAAUCUACCCUCUGAAACCGAAGAAGAUGGGCAACAGAGGCUAGCUCAGGUGGCAAUCUUUAAGCAAAAAAAAUAAAAUAAAAAAAUACAAUGGCGAGGAGACCCGGUCAAAAAGCAACCCUGAAAAAGGUACCCUCUGAAACUGAGGAAGCAGGGCAACAGUGCCUAGCUCAGGUGACAAUCUUUAAGCAAAAAAAAAAAAAAAAAAAAAAAAAAAAAA
Equus asinus (donkey) is the source of this 2134-nucleotide long non-coding RNA. Lineage: Eukaryota; Metazoa; Chordata; Mammalia; Perissodactyla; Equidae. The record is from Ensembl.